RNAcentral lists this ribosomal RNA (240 nucleotides) under uncultured Lactobacillus sp. Its description in RNAcentral is "partial 16S ribosomal RNA". It matches the Rfam family "Bacterial small subunit ribosomal RNA", at positions 123 to 356 of the family's 1533-position model. Lineage: Bacteria; Bacillati; Bacillota; Bacilli; Lactobacillales; Lactobacillaceae. The record is from RNAcentral.
AACCUGCCCAAGAGAUCGGGAUAACACCUGGGAAACAGAUGCUAAUACCGGAUAACAANAGAUGAUGCCUAUCAACUGUUUAAAAGAUGGUUCUGCUAUCACUCUUGGAUGGACCUGCGGUGCAUUAGCUAGUUGGUAGGGUAACGGCCUACCAAGGCGAUGAUGCAUAGCCGAGUUGAGAGACUGAUCGGCCACAUUGGGACUGAGACACGGCCCAAACUCCUACGGGAGGCAGCAGUG